This 253-nucleotide ribosomal RNA is filed under the name uncultured bacterium. Its description in RNAcentral is "partial 16S ribosomal RNA". It matches the Rfam family "Bacterial small subunit ribosomal RNA", at positions 524 to 776 of the family's 1533-position model. The record is from RNAcentral.
UACGGGGGGGGCAAGCGUUGUUCGGAAUUACUGGGCGUAAAGGGCGCGUAGGCGGCUUGCUAAGUUGAAUGUGAAAACUCUGGGCUUAACCCAGAGCCUGCAUUCAAUACUGGCAGGCUAGAGUUCUGGAGGGGAUAGCGGAAUUCCUGGUGCAGCGGUGAAAUGCGUAGAUAUCAGGAGGAACACCGGUGGCGAAGGCGGCUAUCUGGACAGAGUCUGACGCUGAGGCGCGAAAGCUAGGGGAGCAAACAGG